AGAGUUUGAUCAUGGCUCAGAUUGAACGCUGGCGGCAUGCCUUACACAUGCAAGUCGAACGGCAGCACGGGAGCAAUCCUGGUGGCGAGUGGCGAACGGGUGAGUAAUAUAUCGGAACGUGCCCAGUGAUGGGGGAUAGCCCGGCGAAAGCCGGAUUAAUACCGCAUACGACCUACGGGUGAAAGCAGGGGAUCGCAAGACCUUGCGUCAUUGGAGCGGCCGAUAUCAGAUUAGCUUGUUGGUGGGGUAAAAGCCUACCAAGGCGACGAUCUGUAGCUGGUCUGAGAGGACGACCAGCCACACUGGGACUGAGACACGGCCCAGACUCCUACGGGAGGCAGCAGUGGGGAAUUUUGGACAAUGGGCGCAAGCCUGAUCCAGCCAUGCCGCGUGCGGGAAGAAGGCCUUCGGGUUGUAAACCGCUUUUGUCAGGGAAGAAACGGUUCGGGUUAAUACCUCGAACUAAUGACGGUACCUGAAGAAUAAGCACCGGCUAACUACGUGCCAGCAGCCGCGGUAAUACGUAGGGUGCAAGCGUUAAUCGGAAUUACUGGGCGUAAAGCGUGCGCAGGCGGUUAUGCAAGACAGAUGUGAAAUCCCCGGGCUCAACCUGGGAACUGCAUUUGUGACUGCAUGACUUGAGUACGGUAGAGGGGGAUGGAAUUCCGCGUGUAGCAGUGAAAUGCGUA
This 689-nucleotide ribosomal RNA is filed under the name uncultured bacterium. RNAcentral's name for it is "bacterial SSU rRNA". It matches the Rfam family "Bacterial small subunit ribosomal RNA", at positions 8 to 692 of the family's 1533-position model. The record is from RNAcentral.